GGCGAACGGGUGAGUAAUAUAUCGGAACGUGCCCAGUCGUGGGGGAUAACCGUAGCGAAAGCUACGCUAAUACCGCAUACGAUCUAUGGAUGAAAGCGGGGGAUCGCAAGACCUCGCGCGAUUGGAGCGGCCGAUAUCAGAUUAGGUAGUUGGUGGGGUAAAGGCCUACCAAGCCUGCGAUCUGUAGCUGGUCUGAGAGGACGACCAGCCACACUGGAACUGAGACACGGUCCAGACUCCUACAGGAGGCAGCAGUGGGGAAUUUUGGACAAUGGGCGCAGCCUGAUCCAGCAAUGCCGCGUGCAGGAUGAAGGCCUUCGGGUUGUAAACUGCUUUUGUACGGAACGAAACGGUCCUUUCUAAUACAAGGGGCUAAUGACGGUACCGUAAGAAUAAGCACCGGCUAACUACGUGCCAGCAGCCGCGGUAAUACGUAGGGUGCGAGCGUUAAUCGGAAUUACUGGGCGUAAAGCGUGCGCAGGCGGUUAUGUAAGACAGAUGUGAAAUCCCCGGGCUCAACCUGGGACCUGCAUUUGUGACUGCAUAGCUAGAGUACGGUAGAGGGGGAUGGAAUUCCGCGUGUAGCAGUGAAAUGCGUAGAUAUGCGGAGGAACACCGAUGGCGAAGGCAAUCCCCUGGACCUGUACUGACGCUCAUGCACGAAAGCGUGGGGAGCAAACAGGAUUAGAUACCCUGGUAGUCCACGCCCUAAACGAUGUCGACUGGUUGUUGGGUCUUCACUGACUCAGUAACGAAGCUAACGCGUGAAGUUGACCGCCUGGGGAGUACGGCCGCAAGGUUGAAACCCAAAGGAAUUGACGGGGACCCGCACAAGCGGUGGAUGAUGUGGUUUAAUUCGAUGCAACGCGAAAAACCUUACCCACCUUUGACAUGUACGGAACUCGCCAGAGAUGGCUUGGUGCUCGAAAGAGAGCCCGUAACACAGGUGCUGCAUGGCUGUCGUCAGCUCGUGUCGUGAGAUGUUGGGUUAAGUCCCGCAACGAGCGGAACCCUUGUCAUUAGUUGCUACAUUUAGUUGGGCACUCUAAUGAGACUGCCGGUGACAAACCGGAGGAAGGUGGGGAUGACGUCAAAGUCCUCAUGGCCCUUAUAGGUGGGGCUACACACCGUCAUACAAUGGCUGGUACAAAGGGUUGCCAACCCGCGAGGGGGAGCUAAUNCCAUAAAAGCCAGUCGUANUCCCGGAUCGNAGUCUGCAACUCGACUGNNUGAAGUUCGGAAUCGCUAGUAAUUCGNGGAUCANAAUGUCACGGGUGAAUACGNUCCCNGGUUUUGGACACACCCGNCCGNCACACCNUGGGAAGCGGNUUCU
This 1333-nucleotide ribosomal RNA is filed under the name humic substances enrichment clone B32. RNAcentral's name for it is "bacterial SSU rRNA". It matches the Rfam family "Bacterial small subunit ribosomal RNA", at positions 97 to 1419 of the family's 1533-position model. The record is from RNAcentral. Lineage: Bacteria; Pseudomonadati; Pseudomonadota; Betaproteobacteria.